Molecule: ribosomal RNA, 268 nt
Filed under: uncultured bacterium
Lineage: Bacteria
Description: partial 16S ribosomal RNA
Rfam family: Bacterial small subunit ribosomal RNA
Source: RNAcentral
GUCCACGCCGUAAACGGUGAGUGCUAGACGUCGCGGGUAUUGACCCCCGCGGUGUCGAAGCUAACGCGUUAAGCACUCCGCCUGGGGAGUACGGCCGCAAGGCUAAAACUCAAAGGAAUUGACGGGGGCCCCGCACAAGCGGUGGAGCAUGUGGUUCAAUUCGAAGCAACGCGAAGAACCUUACCUGGGCUUGACAUGUUUGAGAACUUUCUCGAAAGAGAGAGGUGCCCGCAAGGGAGCUCUUUCACAGGUGCUGCAUGGCUGUCGU